Molecule: long non-coding RNA, 8385 nt
Filed under: Malus domestica (apple)
Lineage: Eukaryota; Viridiplantae; Streptophyta; Magnoliopsida; Rosales; Rosaceae
Description: long non-coding RNA (MDOM_LNC010523)
Source: RNAcentral
UGGUGUCGGUCACACCAAUGACUCGAGACCAGUCACUCUCCCUAAGAGAAGACAUAACACGUAUUGAUCUUAACAAACUGUCAAUGCCUAAUUGGCAAUCCUAUGAUCAGGAAUGUUUAGGAUAUGUAUACGAAAGACAAUGGUCUCAUGAAUCUAACUUCUUUAGAUCGCAUUCUCCCAAUUACAUAUUCCUUUCGUUUAAGCGUAUAACAUUUAUAUGAGACAGCUUCAAACAAUAAUGUUUGCCCUUUAAAUUGAACUAUAUUAGUUUAACAUGUGAAAUGUCCGUAAAGUAUCAUUAUAUGAUUGGUUUUAGGGCACAUUUCCAACACUAGUAGUGCAUUAUAUAUGUUUAUUUGCUUAAGAUUGAAUGGUUGUCAGAUGCUAGCUCGUUCGUUUUUAUUAAUGCCGAAAACAAUCCAAAUGAACUCCGAAUAGAAAAACUAUGUACAUUUGACGCCCAAUAAGUUUUUGAUCUUUCAAGUACUCAUUCUUAUGGUCCUAGUAGCACAUUAUAUGUGUUUAUUUGCUUAAGAUCGAAUGGGUGUCAAAUGCAAGCUUGUUCUUUUUUUUAAUGCCAAAACAGUCCAAAUGGACUCCAAAUAAAAAAACUGUGUACUUUUGACACCCAAUAAGCUUUUGAUCUUUUGAGUUCACAUUCUUAUGGUCCUAGUAGCACAUUAUACAUGUUUAUUUGCUUAAGAUGGAAUGGGUGUCAAAAUCAAGCUCAUUCUUUUUUUUAAUGCCAAAAACAAUCCAAAUGAACUGCAAAUAGAAAAACUGUGUACUUUUGACACCCAUUAAAAUUUUGAUCCUUUGAGUUCUCAUUCUUAUGGUCCUAGUAACAUAUUAUAAGUGUUUAUUUUCUUAAGUUCUAAUGGGUGUCAAACGCACGCUCCUUUGUUUUUAUUAACGUUGGAAAGUGUCCAAAUGCACUCCAAACAUAAUAAAUGUGUACUUUUGACACCCAAUAAGCUUUUGAUCUUUUGAGCGCAUUAUAUGUUUCCAUUUGCUUAAGAUUGAAUGCGCAAACUCAAUGUAGUUCGUUUAUAUUAAUACUGAAAACACUCCAAAUGAACUCCAAAUAGAAAAACUCUAUACUUUUGAGAAUCAAUAAGCUUUUAAUCUUUUGAGUACUCAUUCUUAUGGUCCUACUAGCACAUUAUAUGUGUUUAUUUUCUUAAGUUGUAAUAGGUAUCAAAAGUGUGGUUGUUUGUUUUUAUAAAUGGCGAAAACAGUACAAAUGAACUCAAAAUAGAAAAAUUCUGUACUUUUGACACCCAAUAAACUUUUGAACUUUUGAGUACUCAUUCUUAAGGUCAUACUAGUGUAUUAUUUUUGUUUCUUUUCUAAGUUCCAAUGGGUGUCAAACACAUUUGAACUUAAGCUAAUAAACACACGCUCGUUUGUUUUUAUUAAUAUCUAAAACAUUACAGAUGAACUCCAAAUAAAAAAGGGUGUACUUUUGACACCGAAUAAGCUUUUGAUCUUUUGAUGACUCAUUCUUAUGAACCUAGUAGCACAUUAUAUCUGUUUAUUUGCUUGGGUGUCAAACGCACACCCCUUUGUUUUUAUUAAUGCCUAAACCAUUACAAAUACACUGCAAUAAAACUAUGUACUUUUGACACCCAAUAAGAAUUUUAUCAUUUGAUUACUCAUUCUUAUUGUCAUGGGAAAGUAGUCCAAAUGAACUCCAAAUAGAAAAAUUGUGUACAUUUGACACCUAAUAAGCUUUUAAUCUUUUGAGUACUCAUUCUUAUGGUCCUUGUAGCACAUUGUAUGUGUUUAUUUGCUUAGGUUACAAUGGGUGUGAAACGCACACUCAUUUGUUUGUUUUUAUUAAUGCCGAAAAUAGUCCAAAUGCACUCUAAAUAGAAAAACUGUGUACUUUUGACACUCAAUAAGCUUUUGAUAUUUUGAGUACUCAUUGUCAUGGUCCUUGUAGUGCAUUGUAUGUGUUUAUUUGCUUAAGUUCCAAUGGGUGUCAAACACAUGGUCAUUCGUUUUUAUUAAUGUUGAAAACAGUCUAAAUGAACUCCAAAUAGAAAAACUAUGUACAUUUGAAAUUCGCUAAGCUUCUUAUUUUGAUUACUCAUUCUUAUGGUCCUAGUUCAGCAUUAAAUUUUUUUAUUUGCUUAAGUUCCAAUGGGUUUCAAACACACACUUGUUUGUUUUAUUAAAUCCGAUAACAGUCCAAAUGCACUGUGUUGAUGCACAAAACCGGAAUAUGUAAGAAAUGUAAAUAACACAAGAUGUAUCGUGGUUCACCCCAAGGUUUGGGCUACGUCCACACUGAUUGUAUUGUAUUUCUCUGAGAAGUGAGGGAGAGAGCCUCUGUAAUAUGAGAGGGGAUGUGAGAGGGUUUCAGGCUUAAGGAUUGGCCUCCUCUAAUUGUGAGGGUAAGGGGUCCUUUUAUAGAAUAAGGACUCUUCACUUAUUACAUAUUUGCUCAUUCCUUUAUCACAUAAUUACAUUUUAUGUCCCCCGAGUAUUUGUACAAGAUCUAAAUAUGAGGCUCUAAAUAUGGUAUAAACAGUAGUCCCCCAAGUCUUCAGUCAAGAAAGUCUUUUGGCUGGAGACUUGAAAUUAAGUCCAUGUGUGGGCCGAAGUAACUAGAUGUUGUCUUGAACUGAUGCUCGAUAUGAGGCGGUGCUUAAUCUGAAAUGAUGCUUAACUAAAAGUAGCACAUGCUGCGAGGCUGCUCGGCUCAUGGCUUAUGUUGCCUUGGUUGGCUCGGCUUGUGGCGUUAAAGGUGAGGGAGUCCCUUUUAUAGAAUAAGGGCUUGCUUCUCAAUACAUAAGUGAUAGGCUAAGAGUUGAUGCUCGCGGUGAGGCGGUUGCUCAGUUGACAACGAUGCUUUUCUAAUGAUGGUGAGGGAGUCCCUUUUAUAAAAUAAGGGCUCGUUCCUCAAUACAUGAAUAAUGUGCUAGAGUUGAUGCUCUCGAAUGACGGUGAGAAAGUUCCUUUUAUAGAAUAAGGGCUCGCUCCUCAAUACAUAAGUGAUGGGCUAAGUCCCCCAAGUAUUUUUCAUGAGGCCCAGUUGAGGCCCAAUAUAUGGUACAUAAUGUAGUCCCCCAAGUCUUCAGUUAAUAGAGUCUGUUGGCUGGAGACUUCAAAUUGAAUUCAUGUAUGGACCGAAGUGGUGGUUGUUCGGAGGCGGUAUUUCUAUACCCUGUACUGAAGCUUUGUAGGUGAAGCUUUACAAAUGAAGCUUUGAAGCUGAAGCUCUGUAAAUGAAGCUUUUGAAGCUAGAGCUAUUGUAAAUGAAGCUUUUGAAGCUGAUUGACAUGAGUGAUGCUCAUGAAUGUUUAUGUUGAUUGACAUGAGUGAUGCUCAUAGAUGUUGUCAUAAGUGAUGCUCAUGAAUGUUGACAUGAAUCAUGGUCAUGAAUGUUUAUGUAUGAUUGUCAUGAGUGAUGUUCAUGAAUGUUUAUGUAUGAAUGACAUAAUUGCUGGCAUGAAGGAGAGUACGGGUUGUACAUUUCAUUACCUGGUUGGUGGCAUGAAUGGCUAGUUGCCAAAUGAUAUUUAGAGUACGGGUUGUACAUUUCAUCACCUGGUUGGUGGUAAUAGCAACAGGUUGCCGAAUAAUUUUUGAGUACUGGGUGUACUUUUGAUCACCUGGUUAGUGGUAAUAGCGGCUGGUUGCCGAAUAAUUGUGGAGUACUGGGCGUACUUUUGAUGAUUUGGUUGGUGCUAUUUUAGGCUUAUGGGCCUUCGCUCUCCACACAACAUUCCAGCCCAUUUAUUGGGCUUUGCCGUUUAUUACCCUCUUAUGGGGUUUAUACAGAUGUCUCCGAAAGAUAGGAAAAAUACAUCACAUCAUACAAAAACAAGAAAAGCAAAUCACAUCAUUCUGAUGGGGUGUUUAUUCCUUGCUUUUGCUUUCACUUUUGUUUUGCUUUUGCUUUUGUUUCUGUUUCCCACUGCGCCUCUGUCUCUCCACCUCCAUCCUCUCUGGCAGACUUGCUUAUUGCUUUUGCAGACUUGCUUUACUUUUUCUUUUCAUUUUCUGCUUUCUUCUUUUGCACCGCACCCUCUCAGUCUUUGUCUCUACUUUGCAUGUGCACUCUUUGAUCUUUAGCUGCAUGGACUCCAAAGUAUGACCUUAAUAUCCUCACCAUCUCUUCAAAUGGCGUCUACUUUGGCAUUUCCAGUGGCGCAGGCCGACCUUCAGAACCUAAACCAUCGCUCUCAAAUGGAAAUGGAAGUAUCAUAUACCCUUCCCACAAGUAGUCCAUCUUCAGGUCCUAAAAUGGUUUACAUGCUUCGCUAAAACGCUUCAAUACAUCGUCAAGUUCGAGGUCUGUUACGCUAUAGUUGUAGCCCCAAACUGCAAUUACUCAUCCGGGCUUACACAAAACGCAUUUGAUGACCGAGUAGAACUUUGGGAGGUUGAACCAGUGAACGGCCUCUGCCGCGGUAACCAAAUCAACUGAGUUUUCUCUCCCUAUUAACUCAACAAAUCGUUGUCAGACAUGGUCAUCGGAGUGUGAACGUAACGAACUCAAGGAUGUUGGAGUGCAAGCUUUAGUUGGGACUCACUCAUAUCAGUCCCUAUUACUUGCUCAUAAUUCUCUCCAAGAGAGAAAGCAGCUUGGCCAUUACUAGUGCCAACAUCCCAAGCUAAAGAAUGAUUUGGUGUGGGAGCAGCCAGCAUGGAAAGCCAUUCCUUGGGAUAAGUUGGCCUUCCUACCAAGUAAACCUAUGCGUGCUUGCCGAAUAUACCUUCCAUUUUUUUUUUACUUCUGUAAUUUACAGCCCGAUACGCGCCGGAUACGUAUGUGAAUGUAUCAGUUAACCAUUUGGCCUCUGGAUACGUCGUCGAUACGCUUACUAUAUGCGAAUCCGACUGUCUAGAUACGUUUUUAGAGGACAAGCAGACUCUGGUGGGAGAGAGCUUCACCGUCGACCGUCGUUUGCCACUAUGUUGGUUGCGUUGUCUGCAACUGCAAGUGUGUUGGCUACUGGUGCUGGGUAACUGGGUUACGAUUUGAACAGUAGAACAUGUAAGAAGAAGAAACAAUAGUAUUUUGGGUACAAGACCUGUCGGCUGCCCAUGCUGGGUUCCAAUUUGAACAAAGGAACAAGUAAGGAGAGGAAACAAUUGUAUUUUGGAUAGGAUCUGUUCAGAGAAGAACAGACAGAGAGCUUUUGCUUUUCACUUUUGUGGGAGUGGUUGAGGAUGCAUGCUUUUUCUUUUCACCUGCAAACAUACUCAUAUGCAGCCUUUCUUUUUCUUUUCUUUUUUUCGCUUUUUGCUUUGCUCUUUUCUUUUUUCUGCUUUGCUGUAAUUCCACUUGCAUACAUGAAAACCUGGGUGGCUGGUUCCCAUGGCCGACAAUUGUAGGUUUAUAGCGUGGGUGAGCAGCGCAAGAGGGUAAACUUUGUCAAGAGCCAAAACCUUCUCCAUUGUCGCCCAUUUUGUUUGCCAUUAAGCUUAAGAACUCUAUGAACUCAAUGGUCUCAUUUCCAUCAACGUCCACUUCGCUUAUCAUGUCCUGAAACUCCUCCUCCGUCGGAUUCUAAUCCAGAGACCGAAUCACUGUCGCCAGUUCAUCCACAGUAUGCAACCAUCUCCAUCCUCUCCCGUGGCUAAGACAACAGGGUUGGCCAUGAGCUCUCUGGAAAUGAGGCAUCUGGACUCUUUAGGAGCCAGCAGUACCGCCGCUGCCGUGAAACUUGAAAGAGAGAAACUUUUUGGACUUUAAGUUUUUCAAAGAAGACAAGGCUCUGAUGGCCUCAUCAGCAGUCUUGACCCUGUAGUCAUCUUCGUCAACCAUGGCCUUCACCAGCCUCUCCAGUUCCAUCGUCAGAGACAAUACCUUUCCUAGUGAGAUGCUCAGCGAUAGGGUGAGAGCUCAAGAUGGGAGAGCGGUCACCAUUAGCAAUACGUUGGAUCUCUGGCUGAAGAUCUUUAUACGUAAUAACUGGGACUUUGGACUUUGAACGAGUUCCGGUCGGUCAUACCAUCGAGGCUGAAUCGUUUGAGGUACUCGGUAUCAGCGUUACACUCAGAAUCUCGAGCAGAACUCUCUCCUGCUCCAAGUCCGUGUUCUUGGUCGUCUCCUCUAUGAACUGAAGCGCCUUGGCGUCCUUCUCGGUGGCCGGUGGGCCCAGGAGGGAGGAUGUCACUGAAUCGACGACCAUGAUUGACUUGAUCUGGGACUGUUGCUGCUGCAUGUCUCGUCCAUCAGAUGAGAGAGAGAGGAGAUGAGAGAGUGAUGCUCUCUUUUCUUGGAUUUGUUUUUGUUGUGGUCUGUGUGUGAGCGAGUGAGAGGAGAGAGAAGGAAUGAAUGUGACUGUGUUUCCAUUGAUGCCACCGUGACCGAGAGCUGAAGCAGAAGACAUGGGUUUUAAAGUGACUGUGCAGGUGUUUGGUUCUUGGGUUUCUAUAGAUUCACGGUGGAUGUGAAAAAAUGAAAGAGAACCAACACAACUUUUCGUAUCGAUUCCCAUAGACGGCGCCAAAUGUUGAUGCACAAAACCAAAGGUCUUGGAACAACAUAAAUCCGACCGUGAAUCUGCAAGAAAUGUAAAUAACACAAGAUGUAUCGUGGUUCAUCCCAAGGUUUAGGCUAUGUCCAGACUGAUUGUAUUGUAUUUCUCUGAGAAGUGAGGGAGAAAGCCUCUGUAAUAUGAGAGGGGAUGUGAGAGGGUUUCAGGCCUAAGGGUUGGCCUCCUCUAAUUGUGAGGGUGAGGGGUCCUUUUAUAGAAUAAGGACUCCUCACUUAUUACAUAUUUUGCCCCUUCAUUUAUCACAUAAUUACAUUUAAGUCCCCUGAUUAUUUGUACGAGAUCUAAAUACGAGGCCCUAAAUAUGGUAUAAACAUACUCAAUUUCAAUACAUAUUAUUAUUUAAUGUAUAUUUAGUAGAGGAUAGGUAGUAAAUAAUACAUUUUAUGCUAAAAAUUAUAAAUUAGUUCUAUCUCCAGUCCCCCUUUAUCCUACUCUUUAAAGAAAAAAGAUCAUUUACCCUAUGUAAUUUAGCCUCUAUGCUUCUUACUCAAGAAAAGAAAAAUAUUUUUUUUUAAAUCCACAAUUAAAUCCCUAUCUCCCCAAUUCCUUAUUUUUCUUUGCGAUUUUCUAAUGAAUGACACCUUUGACACAUUCUUAAUCUCUUUAUUUACUUAUUCUUGAUUUAGUUAGUAGGUUAAUUAUUUAUAUGGUCCUUGAAUUUAUCGGUUAGGGUUUUGAUUUUGAGAAUAGUUUAUUUUAUAUUGUUAUUCUUUUAUAUUGAUUAUUAUAUAAUUUUAUAUAAGCAGAAAAAUAAACAUAUAAUGUUAUGGUACUAUUUUCAGCUAGCUCCCUCCCAAGAAAAAAAUCCUGACUCUGCCCUUGUGUGGUUGUAUUGGCCUUGCAUCAAUCAAUUUAAAAACAUGAAAUAAGAUUUGAUUACUUCCCUUUUUUCUUUUUCUUUUGUUGGUGGGGUGGGGUUGAACAACUACUUCAUGCACAGCCAAUCGAAAUAGCUUUUACUUGAUCCCUUGAGACUGUAUGUAUCUGUGAAGAAAUUAAUCAAAUAUGGUAAAGGAUUAUUUAAUUUCAUGCAGAGAAAAACGGGGAGUAUUAAUUGAUUAUUAAAGGACUUUUUGAUAAUUAUUUCAUUUUCAGUUGUUAGUUUUUUUACGAAAUGAAUACGAUAGCUUUUGUUGAUGCACAAAAUCGGAGGUCUUGGAACAACGUAAAUCCGACCGUGAAUCUGCAAGUAAAGUAAAUAACACAAGAUGUAUCGUGGUUCACCCCAAGGUUUGGGCUACGUCCACACCGAUUAUGUAUUUAUCUGAAAGAGAGAGAGCUCUGAAAGUGAGAGCUUUGAGAGGGGGUGAGAGGGUCUAGGAAUUGGCCUCCCCUAAUGAGGAGAGUGAGAAGUCCUUUUAUAGAAUAAGGGCUCCUCACUUAUUACAUAUUUGCCCAUUUCUUUAUUACAUAAUUACAUUUGAGUCCCCCGAGUAUUUAUACGAGAUCUAAAUACAGAGGCCCUAAGUAUGGGAUAAAUAACUUUAUUUCAGAAUUCAACGAGAGUACAAAUCAUGGUCAAGGUCGUCACUAAUAAGGGGUUCCUCAAACUAUACAUCUGAAUCACCAUCAAGUAAAUUUAACUUGGUUAGGGGAUGUGCCACGCCAUUACAAGUACGGGAACAUAUGAAAACGUGCACCCGCCAAACUCAGAAGCUAACUCUUUAAUAUCAGAAAUAAUGAAUUCGAGACUAAUCGGUAGAAACACCAUUACAAACCGAGACAGCUUCCAUAGAAUCUGUUUCCACUUGCAGUUGGACGCACCCCACCCUUUUCGCAAGCUUCAAACCUUCUCUUAGUGCUAAGAGUUCCACCUGCUUGGUCGAAGAGCUGCCUUGAAGCCUCCAAGAACCAGCAGCUAAGAAGA